AGUGAACGCUGGCGGUAGGCCUAACACAUGCAAGUCGAACGGCAGCACAGUAAGAGCUUGCUCUUACGGGUGGCGAGUGGCGGACGGGUGAGGAAUACAUCGGAAUCUACUUUUUCGUGGGGGAUAACGUAGGGAAACUUACGCUAAUACCGCAUACGACCUACGGGUGAAAGCAGGGGAUCUUCGGACCUUGCGCGAUUGAAUGAGCCGAUGUCGGAUUAGCUAGUUGGCGGGGUAAAGGCCCACCAAGGCGACGAUCCGUAGCUGGUCUGAGAGGAUGAGCAGCAGCACGGGAACGGAGACACGGUCCAGACUCCUACGGGAGGCAGCGGUGGGGAAUGUGGGACAAGGGGCGCAAGCCUGAUCCAGCCAUCCCGGGGGGGUAAAGAGGGCCUUGGGUUUGAAAGGCCUUUUUGUGGGAAAAAAAAAGAAGCAGGUAAAUCCCCCGUUGUUCGGAGGGUCCCAAAAAAAAAAGCCCCGGCUAACUUCGUC
Molecule: ribosomal RNA, 492 nt
Filed under: uncultured bacterium
Lineage: Bacteria
Description: partial 16S ribosomal RNA
Rfam family: Bacterial small subunit ribosomal RNA
Source: RNAcentral